RNAcentral lists this ribosomal RNA (249 nucleotides) under uncultured Actinomycetales bacterium. RNAcentral's name for it is "partial 16S ribosomal RNA". It matches the Rfam family "Bacterial small subunit ribosomal RNA", at positions 82 to 334 of the family's 1533-position model. The record is from RNAcentral. Lineage: Bacteria; Bacillati; Actinomycetota; Actinomycetes; Actinomycetales.
CUUGGGUACUCGAGUGGCGAACGGGUGAGUAACACGUGGGUGAUCUGCCCUGCACUUCGGGAUAAGCUUGGGAAACUGGGUCUAAUACCGGAUAGGAACCGUCUUUAGUGUGGUGGUUGGAAAGUUUUUUCGGUGCAAGAUGAGCUCGCGGCCUAUCAGCUUGUUGGUGGGGUAAUGGCCUACCAAGGCGUCGACGGGUAGCCGGCCUGAGAGGGUGUACGGCCACAUUGGGACUGAGAUACGGCCCAG